Molecule: ribosomal RNA, 495 nt
Filed under: uncultured Desulfovibrio sp.
Lineage: Bacteria; Pseudomonadati; Thermodesulfobacteriota; Desulfovibrionia; Desulfovibrionales; Desulfovibrionaceae
Description: bacterial SSU rRNA
Rfam family: Bacterial small subunit ribosomal RNA
Source: RNAcentral
GCCCGCUCAGAAACUCAAAGGAAUUGACGGGGCCCGCACAAGCGGUGGAGUAUGUGGUUUAAUUCGAUGCAACGCGAAGAACCUUACCUAGGUUUGACAUCCGGAAGACCUUCCCGAAAAGGAAGGGUGCCCUUCGGGGAAUUCCGAGACAGGUGCUGCAUGGCUGUCGUCAGCUCGUGCCGUGAGGUGUUGGGUUAAGUCCCGCAACGAGCGCAACCCUAUUGCCAGUUGCUACCAGGUAAUGCUGGGCACUCUGGUGAGACUGCCCCGGUUAACGGGGAGGAAGGUGGGACGACGUCAAGUCAUCAUGGCCCUUACGCCUAGGGCUACACACGUACUACAAUGGCGCAUACAAAGGGCAGCGAUACCGCGAGGUGGAGCCAAUCCCAAAAAGUGCGUCCCAGUCCGGAUUGCAGUCUGCAACUCGACUGCAUGAAGUUGGAAUCGCUAGUAAUUCGAGAUCAGCAUGCUCGGGUGAAUGCGUUCCCGGGCCUU